This 531-nucleotide long non-coding RNA is filed under the name Heterocephalus glaber (naked mole-rat). RNAcentral's name for it is "lncRNA (ENSHGLG00000028731.2)". Lineage: Eukaryota; Metazoa; Chordata; Mammalia; Rodentia; Bathyergidae. The record is from RNAcentral.
CUUAGAUCUAAUAAAGUUCAUGCUUCUUACGUUUACCUAUCAAUGGACUAUUAUACCUCUGUGACACCUGGACAGCCACCACAACAAUCAAGAUAUAGAACAUCUUUUGCCUUGGGAGGAUGGGAUUGGCUGGGUGUAAGGGGAUGCCUUCCUACAGAAGUUUCUUCUGAGCAGAGACCUCGAUGAGAGACACGUUGGCCGUAGGAUGAUAAGGAGGUGGAGUUCCCAUGAGGAGCCCGCUCACACCCUGCACUGGGGCUACGUGCUACGCCGAGCAGUAUCUAAAGCUCAUCACUACACCUGCAGAGACCUGUCGUGGUGCCACCUGUGGGCAUCAGCUCCCUCUGCUUCCCUGUCAACUCCAAAUCCACGCCAAAGCAGAAAACAGCCAGAGAGGUAGAGGGCUGCGAAUUGCUACAGAGAGAAAUUCAGCUAGGAAAAUGUCCAUAUCAUUUGGCAAAUCAGGGCUGCAGGCCACCAGCCUCCCUGAGCCUCCAGACCCGUGAGAUAGGACAUCGCUGCUGGUUAGGC